CCUACAGGACGGUAGAUCUCCAGUUAAAGGGUCAGGCAGCCCUGAGAUAAAUAAAUAAAGAAAGGCUUUGGUCUGCAUGACGAUCAUAAGGGGCUCCUCAUAGACCAGUGGUCUGCAACCCUGGUCCUGGAGAGCUACAGGGUCUGCUGGCUUUGUUUUCACCUUAAAAUCAGUGCCCAGUUGAGACCAAAGACACCAGAACAAAACUUGGGGUGGCUGCCAUAUUUCAUCCUGGAAUUUUGUGGAUUUCCCUCCUUGAAGCAAGGGAAGAGAACGUCAGGAAGAAAGCAUAACAUUCAGAUUUGAAUGCAGCCAUAGUUUCAUAAACCUUUGUGAAUCUACCUCAGAGGCCCCAAACUGAACCAUUCCAAUGGAAUCCUCCCAUUGACCCAUGCUAUGGGGUGAAAGGUCACGCAUGCAUUCAAAUUUUCCAUCACUAUGGGGCAGCACUUUAAAGUUAAACCCAGUAAGCUUUCACAGUUCAACUGCAUCCACAAAAAUAUUAUUUUCAUUUCCAUUGGUUUGUAAAUAUCGUUGAGUGUUAUAUUUUCUUUUAAAAAAUUAAUAAUUGCCGUUUAUUUUCAAAGCAGUCAUACCUCGUCAGUUAUAUUUGAAAAGUUGUGUAAAUGUGACCUUAGAAGUGAAAGAGAAAGUCAGAUGUCUGGUGCAGCCUGUGCGGCAGCCGACUCCGCCAUGUUGUGCCGCAGUGGUUUGCUGUGAGAUAGCGAGGGCCGUUCAGUUCCGCUUUGUUCCGCCUUUCCUCCCUCGCACAACACCUGUCACGUUAUACCCUGCAUGGAAGAGGGUUUGAUUUCCACCAUCAGUCCUUUCUCACCUUCGAUCACAUCUCUGUGUCUGUUACCCUCCCUGCUUUCUUUCUGUACAAACAAACCAAAAUGAUGACCAUUGUUGCAUAAUGGCAUGGUGGCCAAGUGGUAAGGCACUGGUCUCGUAAACCAAAGAUCAUGGGUUUAAUCCCCAUCCAUGCCUGGGUU
Anguilla anguilla (European eel) is the source of this 995-nucleotide long non-coding RNA. RefSeq lists it as uncharacterized. Lineage: Eukaryota; Metazoa; Chordata; Actinopteri; Anguilliformes; Anguillidae. The record is from RefSeq and is a predicted model, not a curated record. The transcript has 3 exons.